CCAGUGACCAUGUAGGGAAAGAAGGAACGUUUCUCUUUUACAGUGUAUUGAAUAUUGUCGAUGCUUCCAGAUACUCUUAUGUUUGUGUUUCUCUGAUACAAGAUGACGAUCCUUCAGUUCCUCCGGCACAAUAUCCUCCUCAUCUCUACACUUCUCGCUGUUGUCCUGGGAAUUGUUGCUGGGAUGGUGUGCCGGACGCUAAAGCCGUCCUCUGACACUAUUCAGCUGGUGCAGUUUCCUGGAGAUCUUUUCCUUCGUAUGCUGAAGGUGUUGAUCCUGCCUCUAACAGUAGCCAGUAUCAUUACAGGUCUGGGGAACAUGAAAGGAUCAUGUGCCGGAAGGAUAGGUGUACUGUCUAUGGUUUAUUAUGCAAGUACCUCUGUUGCUGCAACACUGGUUGGCUUGACAUUAGUCCUGACCAUCAAACCUGGAGCUUACUCAGACUCGUCGGCAACCGAUGUAUUACACAAUAACGCUAUGGCAUCAACAAUGGACAUCUUCAUGGACUUAUUGAGGUAACAUUUUGUUUGUUUAUUCUCCGCAUUUGGGAUGUGAUGACAUGCAUCAGCGAGCAUCUUACGACAAGUAUUGGUUGCUGAAGACCAAUUCGAAACAGGAACAUCACAGGGCGUUAAG
This is a long non-coding RNA of Haliotis rufescens (red abalone), 636 nucleotides long. RefSeq lists it as uncharacterized. The transcript has 3 exons. NCBI's taxonomy places the organism in Eukaryota, Metazoa, Mollusca, Gastropoda, Lepetellida, Haliotidae. The record is from RefSeq and is a predicted model, not a curated record.